RNAcentral lists this ribosomal RNA (386 nucleotides) under Acanthamoeba sp. RNAcentral describes it as "SSU rRNA". It matches the Rfam family "Eukaryotic small subunit ribosomal RNA", at positions 795 to 1085 of the family's 1831-position model. The record is from RNAcentral. Lineage: Eukaryota; Discosea; Longamoebia; Acanthamoebidae.
CCGAAUACAUUAGCAUGGGAUAAUGGAAUAGGACCCUGUCCUCCUAUUUUCAGUUGGUUUUGGCAGCGCGAGGACUAGGGUAAUGAUUAAUAGGGAUAGUUGGGGGCAUUAAUAUUUAAUUGUCAGAGGUGAAAUUCUUGGAUUUAUGAAAGAUUAACUUCUGCGAAAGCAUCUGCCAAGGAUGUUUUCAUUAAUCAAGAACGAAAGUUAGGGGAUCGAAGACGAUCAGAUACCGUCGUAGUCUUAACCAUAAACGAUGCCGACCAGCGAUUAGGAGACGUUGAAUACAAAACACCACCAUCGGUGCGGUCGUCCUUGGCGUCGGUCUUUCGGGGCCGGCGCGGGGACGGCUUAGCCCGGUGGCACCGGUGAAUGACUCCCUAGCA